CAGUCGCCGCGGGAAUACGGAGGGUGCAAGCGUUAAUCGGAAUUACUGGGCGUAAAGCGUGCGUAGGUGGUGGUUUAAGUCCGUUGUGAAAGCCCUGGGCUCAACCUGGGAAUUGCAGUGGAUACUGGGUCACUAGAGUGUGGUAGAGGAUAGUGGAAUUUCCGGUGUAGCAGUGAAAUGCGUAGAGAUCGGAAGGAACAUCUGUGGCGAAGGCGACUAUCUGGGCCAACACUGACACUGAGGCACGAAAGCGUGGGGAGCAAACAGGAUUAGAUACCCGCGUAGUCCCUGUCUCUUAUAU
This 301-nucleotide ribosomal RNA is filed under the name uncultured bacterium. RNAcentral describes it as "partial 16S ribosomal RNA". It matches the Rfam family "Bacterial small subunit ribosomal RNA", at positions 509 to 809 of the family's 1533-position model. The record is from RNAcentral.